RNAcentral lists this ribosomal RNA (250 nucleotides) under uncultured bacterium. RNAcentral describes it as "partial 16S ribosomal RNA". It matches the Rfam family "Bacterial small subunit ribosomal RNA", at positions 524 to 773 of the family's 1533-position model. The record is from RNAcentral.
UACGUAGGUGGCAAGCGUUAAUCGGAAUUACUGGGCGUAAAGCGCACGCAGGCGGUCUGUCAAGUCGGAUGUGAAAGCCCCCGGCUCAACCUGGGAACUGCAUUUGAAACUGUCUGACUAGAGUCCUGUAGAGGGGGGUAGAAUUCCAGGUGUAGCGGUGAAAUGCGUAGAGAUCUGGAGGAAUACCGGUGGCGAAGGCGGCCCCCUGGACAAAGACUGACGCUCAGGUGCGAAAGCGUGGGGAGCAAAC